RNAcentral lists this ribosomal RNA (760 nucleotides) under uncultured bacterium. RNAcentral's name for it is "bacterial SSU rRNA". It matches the Rfam family "Bacterial small subunit ribosomal RNA", at positions 8 to 796 of the family's 1533-position model. The record is from RNAcentral.
AGAGUUUGAUCAUGGCUCAGGAUGAACGCUGGCGGCGUGCCUAAUACAUGCAAGUCGAACGGAAGUAGCAAUACUUUAGUGGCGACCGGGUGCGUAACACGUAGCUAACCUGCCCUCUCGCGGGGGACAACUGUUGGAAACGACAGCUAAUACCGCAUGACGUUCACGAGAACAAAUAUUGUGAACUAAACUUACGGGGCGAGAGGAGGGGGCUGCGGCCCAUCAGGUAGUUGGAGAGGUAAAAGCUCACCAAGCCGACGACGGGUAGGGGGCCUGAGAGGGUGGUCCCCCACACUGGGACUGACAACGGCCCAGACUCCUACGGGAGGCAGCAGUAAGGGAUAUUGCGCAAUGGGCGAAAGCCUGACGCAGCAACGCCGCGUGGAGGAUGAAGGCCUUCGGGUUGUAAACUUCUUUGGGCAGGGACGAGGAAGGACGGUACCUGCCAAACAAGUCACGGCUAACUACGUGCCAGCAGCCGCGGUAAAACGUAGGUGGCAAGCGUUAUCCGGAAUUACUGGGCGUAAAGGGUGUGCAGGCGGGUGGGUAAGUGGUGUAUGAAAUCUCCCAGCUUAACUGGGAUAGGUUAUGCCAGACUGCUCAUCUAGAGGACGAGAGAGGGGGGUGGAAUUCCGGGUGUAGUGGUGAAAUGCGUAGAGAUCCGGAGGAACCCCAGAGGCGAAGGCGGCCCCCUGGCUCGUACCUGACGCUCAGCCACGAAAGCAUGGGGAGCGAACGGGAUUAGAUACCCUCGUAGUCC